RNAcentral lists this ribosomal RNA (430 nucleotides) under bacterium. RNAcentral describes it as "partial 16S ribosomal RNA". It matches the Rfam family "Bacterial small subunit ribosomal RNA", at positions 355 to 776 of the family's 1533-position model. The record is from RNAcentral.
UGGGGAAUAUUGGACAAUGGGCGCAAGCCUGAUCCAGCCAUGCCGCGUGUGUGAAGAAGGCCUUUUGGUUGUAAAGCACUUUAAGCGAGGAGGAGGCUACUUGGAUUAAUACUCUAGGAUAGUGGACGUUACUCGCAGAAUAAGCACCGGCUAACUCUGUGCCAGCAGCCGCGGGAAUACAGAGGGUGCGAGCGUUAAUCGGAUUUACUGGGCGUAAAGCGUGCGUAGGCGGCUUUUUAAGUCGGAUGUGAAAUCCCUGAGCUUAACUUAGGAAUUGCAUUCGAUACUGGGAAGCUAGAGUAUGGGAGAGGAUGGUAGAAUUCCAGGUGUAGCGGUGAAAUGCGUAGAGAUCUGGAGGAAUACCGAUGGCGAAGGCAGCCAUCUGGCCUAAUACUGACGCUGAGGUACGAAAGCAUGGGGAGCAAACAGG